Molecule: ribosomal RNA, 429 nt
Filed under: Pseudomonadota bacterium
Lineage: Bacteria; Pseudomonadati; Pseudomonadota
Description: Proteobacteria bacterium partial 16S ribosomal RNA
Rfam family: Bacterial small subunit ribosomal RNA
Source: RNAcentral
UGGGGAAUAUUGGACAAUGGGCGAAAGCCUGAUCCAGCCAUGCCGCGUGUGUGAAGAAGGUCUUCGGAUUGUAAAGCACUUGAAGUUGGGAGGAAGGGCAGUAAGCGAAUACCUUGCUGUUUUGACGUUACCGACAGAAUAAGCACCGGCUAACUCUGUGCCAGCAGCCGCGGGAAUACAGAGGGUGCAAGCGUUAAUCGGAAUUACUGGGCGUAAAGCGCGCGUAGGUGGUUCGUUAAGUUGAAUGUGAAAGCCCCGGGCUCAACCUGGGAACUGCAUCCAAAACUGGCGAGCUAGAAUAAGGCAGAGGGUGGUGGAAUUUCCUGUGUAGCGGUGAAAUGCGUAGAUAUAGGAAGGAACACCAGUGGCGAAGGCGACCACCUGCGCUCAUACUGACACUGAGGUGCGAAAGCGUGGGGAGCAAACAGG